RNAcentral lists this ribosomal RNA (460 nucleotides) under uncultured bacterium. Its description in RNAcentral is "partial 16S ribosomal RNA". It matches the Rfam family "Bacterial small subunit ribosomal RNA", at positions 338 to 795 of the family's 1533-position model. The record is from RNAcentral.
CCUACGGGCGGCAGCAGUGAGGAAUAUUGGUCAAUGGGCGUAAGCCUGAACCAGCCACGUCGCGUGAGGGAUGAAGGUUCUAUGGAUCGUAAACCUCUUUUAUAAGGGCAUAAAGUGUGGGACGUGUCCUGUUUUGUAUGUACCUUAUGAAUAAGGAUCGGCUAACUCCGUGACAGCAGCCGCGGUAAUACGGAGGGUCCGAGCGUUUUCCGGAUUUAUUGGGUUUAAAGGGUGCGUAGGCGGCCUUUUAAGUCAGCGGUGAAAGUCUGUGGCUCAACCAUAGAAUUGCCGUUGAAACUGUAAGGCUUGAGUAUGUUUGAGGCAGGCGGAAUGCGUGGUGUAGCGGUGAAAGGCUUAGAUAUCACGCAGAACCCCGAUUGCGAAGGCAGCCUGCCAAGCCAUGACUGACGCUGAUGCACGAAAGCGUGGGGAUCAAACAGGACUAGAUACCCCUGUAGUC